RNAcentral lists this ribosomal RNA (119 nucleotides) under Aegilops tauschii subsp. strangulata. Lineage: Eukaryota; Viridiplantae; Streptophyta; Magnoliopsida; Poales; Poaceae. The record is from RNAcentral.
GGAUGCGAUCAUACCAGCACUAAAGCACCGGAUCCCAUCAGAACUUCGAAGUUAAGCGUGCUUGGGCGAGAGUAGUACUUGCAUGGGUGACCUCCUGGGAAGUCCUCGUGUUGCAUUCC